RNAcentral lists this long non-coding RNA (855 nucleotides) under Volvox carteri. RNAcentral's name for it is "long non-coding RNA (VCAR_LNC004324)". Lineage: Eukaryota; Viridiplantae; Chlorophyta; Chlorophyceae; Chlamydomonadales; Volvocaceae. The record is from RNAcentral.
GCACAGCAAUCACAUAGUGCUAAACGCAGUGACGUUUCUUAUUGGUGCUGCAAAUUGUCCACGAUCACAUGACUUCUGGGCAGCAAGAGGGGAAAAGCCGUAUAAUUCCGGACCCUGGUCCGGAAGUGUACAGCAUGGUAUAAAGUUCACAUGGCUGCAAAUUCAAAUUUGGGAAGUUGUUUCGUGGCUACUGAACUUUGUUGAUUGCAUCAUUUAAAUCCUGGCCAGAACCUGCCAUAGAAUAGGACGCUCUUUUGUCAUGGCAAAGACAGGGGGUGGAGUAUGGCCGCCGCCGCGCCUGCGGUUGAGACUAAUGCACCUCCCACAUGUUUUAGCUAGUUACAUCAACAAUGCUGUGCCUGUGGGACUGUGCGAGCUGGUGACUUAACUUGUCAUGCUUGAACACAGCAGGAGAGAAUCUUUGCUAAUUAAACCUUAAAUACAUGCCUUAAGUAUGUAACAUAUGGCUUCAAAUUAACAACAGGGUACCCUGUAAGGGAGCUGACCGAGUAAGGCUUGGCAACAGGCCAAAAGGAAGUUGCCCUGCUAGCUGUCAUAUACUGAUCUUUUGCGUUGGAUAAGUGCAGCUAAGCCUAAGGGCUUUGUUUACGGCCGCGCCUGAAUGCAUAUCAAGUCACUGCAAGUGGCUGAAACGAAGGUAAUUCAAGUGCACUCCAGAAUCCCGGCAGGGAUGCUGUAUAGUACAUUGUGCACAUUGUUAUAGCGGUAAUAUACUAUGCAGCAUUUCAGAAGGGAUUCCGGAGUCCAUAUGGCAUAUAAUUGUCAUUUUUUAGAAAGGAACAAAACAUGAACACAUAGCCAGCAUAUGACCAUUGGGAACAUGACUGAAUUUAC